Molecule: long non-coding RNA, 440 nt
Organism: Helianthus annuus (common sunflower)
Lineage: Eukaryota; Viridiplantae; Streptophyta; Magnoliopsida; Asterales; Asteraceae
Exons: 3
Source: RefSeq, a predicted model, not a curated record
CAAGGAGAAGAGGGGCGAACAGGGGAUUCUCCAAACCCUAGUUUUACACUAAAAUCUGCAAAAUUGAAGCCUCAAAUCCGUUCCGAAUCAAGUUCUAAACACAAAUUAGCAAACCCCUUGUUGUAAGGAUCAAAAGGCAAAGAGUCCGGAUCGUCAAGCGGACAAGCCGAAGGGAAUUCACGGGGAAAGGGCGUGCUCUAAAGUUUUCAGGUACCCAAGUAAAAGGAUGAUGAUCAAGCAAUCAAGUCGAACCGAACACACAAUACAACGCUUCCGCACUUGAUCUUUUGUUUUGUUAUUAUGUAAACACUGUAGUUUUACCUUGAACAUCGUUUGGUAGGUUAAACAUGUGAAUGUUGUAACUAGUUGGUUUUCAAAUCUUGAAAGUUUUUGUAAACUCUGAAGUUUUGGCACGAAAUGUAAGGUUCUAUCUUAUAAAA